AUUGUUUCUUUGGUUACAGGAUGACUUUCUGUUGCGGCACUAUGAUAAAGGACCGUGCAAGAACAAAUUGGGGCACUCACGCGCAUCUGUACUAUGGCACCGUGCACAGGUGGUAGGAAUAUUUGCAGGCUUCGGACUAUUGCUGUUGGUGGCCAGCCCGCUCCUCUUGUUGGCAGCGCCAUGCAUCGUCUGUUGCAAGUGCAGGCUCUGCAACCCCAGCACGAAGAAUCUCGAGGAGGUAGACGAGAUAGACAGCAUAAGUCCCACCCGGGAUGACGACCGGGACCAACAGCCGGACCGAUACCUAUCCGACUGACGCCGGCGACGCGACCGUAGGUACUAAACUAUCACAACCUGACAUACUGGCGAUAUGUACUUCAAAAAUCCAGUACUUACACUGUACCUAGGUCCUAGGUACUCAAAAGUGAAAAUGAACACUAAAUACAGACUACAAAAGAACUAUUUUUCUCCACGUGUUAAAAGUAAUAGUUUUAAACCAGAUUCAAAUGUUUUUGACGUAUCUUUUCCGUAUUUAUUGAUGUUUAUUAUUAUAAUAGUAUAGUUGAAGUGCAAGUUUUAGCUUCAAUUCUCAUUCAAAAUGUUAUAUUUAUCUGUAAUAUGUGUCUAUAAUUGUGACAGAUUGUCGUAUAGCAUAACUCUUGAGUAUAAGUGAAUUUAAAAAUAACGGAUGAUCGUUGGAGAUUUGUGAUAUAAAGUGAACUUCGCCUCUACUAGAAAAAGGGAUAUUUUAGAUCUAAAUGUAAGAAAGAACGUUCGCCUCUUUGUGGUUAAAUUAAUGUAAAUUAAUUAACUGUACUAUAUCUAUUUAAUAUCUCGUAUAUUUGACACGCUAAUGAAUAAAAUAUUGCUAUUUUGUUUCAUUGGGGAAACUACGUUGUUCUUACAAAUCUUUAAAACUGCACUAAAAAUGCCUUAUGCUCAUUUGACUUCGCAGAGGAUUUGAAAAGCUGUAUCUUUUGCCUUUUUGAGACUCUCGACCCGUUUUUGACGUAAAAAUGACAUCUGACAUUUUAAGUGUCAUGGCGACUGUGAUGUUUCCCCCCGAAAAUAAUGUACACACAAUACUUAUGUGUUUUUAUAAAUCAGUAGAAUUCAUAGUAAAUAGAAAAUAUGUAUAAUAUUACACUGAUAUGUAAAUAUUGUUGUAUUCAGCCAUUAUUCUUUUAUGUACCUAUGUAAAAUAUUACUACUACUAAAUGACUCUGUCAUACGUCGUUACUUUGCCAAUUGCGCUUGACUGUUAAAAAUAACAAAUGUGUACUAUAAAUAAAUUAAAGCUAUAAUUUUAUUUGCGCGAAUAUUCUGUUUGCGAUAAAACAUCUUUAUAACUCAUUCAGUCUGUGACAGUAUGAUUUGUGUAAUUCAAUAUUAUUUCAACAGAGGGCAGGAUUAGAGCAAAAGGAUUUUGACAAUUGUGAAAUUAUCGUCCUAAUACUGAAAGGCUACUCGAUUUUAAGUUGUACUUAAAUAUCGUGCUUUUUUGUCGCGGAGAACCUAACGGGUA
Spodoptera litura is the source of this 1525-nucleotide long non-coding RNA. RefSeq lists it as uncharacterized. Lineage: Eukaryota; Metazoa; Arthropoda; Insecta; Lepidoptera; Noctuidae. The record is from RefSeq and is a predicted model, not a curated record.